CGUUCUGUAAGCCUGUGAAGGUGCGUUGUAAAGCGUGCUGGAGGUAUCAGAAGUGCGAAUGCUGACAUAAGUAACGAUAAAACGAGUGAAAAACUCGUUCGCCGGAAGACCAAGGGUUCCUGUCCAACGUUAAUCGGGGCAGGGUGAGUCGGCCCCUAAGGCGAGGCUGAAAAGCGUAGUCGAUGGGAAACGGGUUAAUAUUCCCGUACUUGGAUAAACUGCGAUGUGGGGACGGAGC
RNAcentral lists this ribosomal RNA (238 nucleotides) under uncultured Symbiodinium. RNAcentral describes it as "partial Bacterial large subunit ribosomal RNA". It matches the Rfam family "Bacterial large subunit ribosomal RNA", at positions 1237 to 1478 of the family's 2925-position model. Lineage: Eukaryota; Dinophyceae; Suessiales; Symbiodiniaceae. The record is from RNAcentral.